AUUCAUUGGAAAUUCACAAAACAGUUGUUUCUUCAAAUAGGAGCUAUGGUGCUUGCAGAUCUUGGACACUGUUGUAUUGGUGAAUUUGAUAAAAUGUCUGCAGAACAUCAGGCUCUUCUAGAAGCUUUGGAGCAGCAAUGUGUCUCUGUUGCAAAGGCUGGCCUCCUGGCAAGUUUAUCAGCACGAACUUCUGUUUUAGCAGCGAAAAAUCCAGUUGGUGGUCAUUAAGUAUUACUUUCUAAGUCUUCAUCCAUAUAUGUUAAUUCUUUAUUGUAACACUGUCUGGAUAAUAAUAAAUACAACCUGGUUUUUCCUUGGACCA
Molecule: long non-coding RNA, 322 nt
Organism: Populus nigra (black poplar)
Lineage: Eukaryota; Viridiplantae; Streptophyta; Magnoliopsida; Malpighiales; Salicaceae
Exons: 2
Source: RefSeq, a predicted model, not a curated record